This 468-nucleotide ribosomal RNA is filed under the name uncultured bacterium. RNAcentral's name for it is "partial 16S ribosomal RNA". It matches the Rfam family "Bacterial small subunit ribosomal RNA", at positions 28 to 507 of the family's 1533-position model. The record is from RNAcentral.
GAUGAAUGCUGGCGGCGUGCUUAACACAUGCAAGUCGAACGGAAAGGCCCAAGCUUGCUUGGGUACUCGAGUGGCGAACGGGUGAGUAACACGUGGGUGAUCUGCCCUGCACUUCGGGAUAAGCCUGGGAAACUGGGUCUAAUACCGGAUAGGACCACGUCUUGGAUGUUGUGGUGGAAAGUUUUUUCGGUGUGGGAUGAGCUCGCGGCCUAUCAGCUUGUUGGUGGGGUAAUGGCCUACCAAGGCGUCGACGGGUAGCCGGCCUGAGAGGGUGUACGGCCACAUUGGGACUGAGAUACGGCCCAGACUCCUACGGGAGGCAGCAGUGGGGAAUAUUGCACAAUGGGCGCAAGCCUGAUGCAGCGACGCCGCGUGGGGGAUGACGGCCUUCGGGUUGUAAACUCCUUUCGCUAGGGACGAAGCGUUUUUGUGACGGUACCUGGAGAAGAAGCACCGGCUAACUACGUG